RNAcentral lists this non-coding RNA (26 nucleotides) under Rattus norvegicus (Norway rat). Lineage: Eukaryota; Metazoa; Chordata; Mammalia; Rodentia; Muridae. The record is from RNAcentral.
GGUACUGAUGCUUUAUCCACGGGGGA